CCCCGACAUUGUGUACUUUCUUUAUUAAUCAGAGUGAGACUAUGAAGUAUAAAGUAAACUUGGUGUACUUGGGAGAGAGCCCAAGAAAUCACUCAAAAUUUCUCUACCUUGUGAAUUACUUUUACAAGUGACAAUUUAGAAGCAGACAAACCCGGCCUACUCUAAGGUAAGGAGAGAGGAUAAGGAGAGAAACUCUUAAAGAAGACUGCAAGAGAGGAAGCAGAAGGGAAAAAACUUCUAAAAAUAUAACCAAUACACUCAUCGUUGGUGAGACCCAGAGGCGAGGCCCUAUACACAGAUUAUCAAUACAUGUAUAAAGUUGAGCCCCUACCGAAUGCUUUCACACCAAGACUGUUAGCCCAAUGGAAGUUGGCUGUGUGGAUACUCUUGAGGACCACAAGAGGUCUUGUUUCUUUAAAAAAACAAAACCAAACAAAACAAACCAUUAAGGGCCCAUGUGAAUUGGGGAAUAUGAAGAUACCAAAAAAAAAAACAGAAAUAGAGGGAGUUGUCCUGGACAGACCCCAAACUGAGAAGAGUGAAAUAAUGGAUUUUUCCUUUCAGCACAUUGUCUCAUAUGAGAAGAAUGAAAGAUAACUGAUAAGCAACUUCCAGCAAGAAGACAUAUAACUUAUAUUCUGAUUGGUUACUAGUGAUUUGAAUCUAUGCAGAUGUAUCUAAUGCUAACAUAUGUAUGUAUAGUAUAUGUAUUUAUAUGACUAGUCAUAGACUUGAAGCAUUUUUUUUCAUAUUACUAAAGACUUGGCACUAAGUGCCAGUUUGAGAAAAUAUUUUGCUUCCUUUUCCAUUAAUUUUGAUUAGC
Molecule: long non-coding RNA, 823 nt
Organism: Mustela erminea (ermine)
Lineage: Eukaryota; Metazoa; Chordata; Mammalia; Carnivora; Mustelidae
Exons: 5
Source: RefSeq, a predicted model, not a curated record